RNAcentral lists this ribosomal RNA (253 nucleotides) under uncultured bacterium. RNAcentral describes it as "partial 16S ribosomal RNA". It matches the Rfam family "Bacterial small subunit ribosomal RNA", at positions 524 to 776 of the family's 1533-position model. The record is from RNAcentral.
UACGAGGGGGGCAAGCGUUGUUCGGAAUUAUUGGGCGUAAAGGGUGCGUAGGCGGUGCGGUAAGUCUGUUGUGAAAUCUAUGGGCUCAACUCAUAGUCUGCAUCGGAAACUGCCGGGCUUGAGUGUGGGAGAGGUGAGUGGAAUUCCUGGUGUAGCGGUGAAAUGCGUAGAUAUCAGGAGGAACACCUGUGGCGAAAGCGGCUCACUGGACCAUAACUGACGCUGAUGCACGAAAGCUAGGGGAGCAAACAGG